This 181-nucleotide non-coding RNA is filed under the name Jeotgalibacillus malaysiensis. Lineage: Bacteria; Bacillati; Bacillota; Bacilli; Caryophanales; Caryophanaceae. The record is from RNAcentral.
UUUCAUAGCAUCAUUUCAGGUGUCAGCAAAGUCUUUGCUGACAUAAUAGGGAAGUCCGGUGAAAUUCCGGCACGGUCGCGCCACUGUAAGGGGGAGCUUCUGAUCAGCCACUGCACUAUGCGGGAAGGGAUCAGAGGUGUUGAAACCAAGUCAGGAUACCUGCCUGUUAUGAAUACGCUAA